Molecule: transfer RNA, 65 nt
Filed under: Taenia multiceps
Lineage: Eukaryota; Metazoa; Platyhelminthes; Cestoda; Cyclophyllidea; Taeniidae
Description: tRNA-Gly
Source: RNAcentral
AUAUUGUUAGUAUAAGUUAUUAUAUUUCUCUUCCAAAGAAAAGAUCUAUUGUUGUAGACGGUAUA